RNAcentral lists this transfer RNA (69 nucleotides) under Phrynosoma platyrhinos (Desert horned lizard). RNAcentral's name for it is "tRNA-OTHER". The record is from RNAcentral. Lineage: Eukaryota; Metazoa; Chordata; Lepidosauria; Squamata; Phrynosomatidae.
GCCAGUGUGGCAUAGUGGUUUGAGCACUGGACUACGACUGGAGACCAGGGUUCGAUUCCUGCUCAGCCA